UACAGAGGUCCCGAGCGUUGUUCGGAUUCAUUGGGCGUAAAGGGUGCGUAGGUGGCGGGGUAAGUCAGGUGUGAAAUCUCGGGGCUCAACCCCGAAACUGCACUUGAUACUGCCUUGCUCGAGUACUGGAGAGGAGAUUGGAAUUUACGGUGUAGCAGUGAAAUGCGUAGAUAUCGUAAGGAAGACCAGUGGCGAAGGCGAAUCUCUGGACAGUUACUGACACUGAGGCACGAAGGCCAGGGGAGCAAACGGG
RNAcentral lists this ribosomal RNA (253 nucleotides) under uncultured bacterium. RNAcentral's name for it is "partial 16S ribosomal RNA". It matches the Rfam family "Bacterial small subunit ribosomal RNA", at positions 524 to 776 of the family's 1533-position model. The record is from RNAcentral.